Molecule: ribosomal RNA, 74 nt
Filed under: Kibdelosporangium aridum
Lineage: Bacteria; Bacillati; Actinomycetota; Actinomycetes; Pseudonocardiales; Pseudonocardiaceae
Description: partial 16S ribosomal RNA
Rfam family: Bacterial small subunit ribosomal RNA
Source: RNAcentral
AUUGUUGGAGAGUUUGAUCCUGGCUCAGGACGAACGCUGGCGGCGUGCUUAACACAUGCAAGUCGAGCGGUAAG